RNAcentral lists this ribosomal RNA (433 nucleotides) under uncultured bacterium. Its description in RNAcentral is "partial 16S ribosomal RNA". It matches the Rfam family "Bacterial small subunit ribosomal RNA", at positions 29 to 507 of the family's 1533-position model. The record is from RNAcentral.
AACGAACGCUGGCGGCAUGCCUAACACAUGCAAGUCGAACGAGACCUUCGGGUCCAGUGGCGCACGGGUGCGUAACGCGUGGGAACCUGCCCUUAGGUUCGGAAUAACUCCCCGAAAGGGGUGCUAAUACCGGAUAAUGUCUUCGGACCAAAGAUUUAUCGCCUUUGGAUGGGCCCGCGUUGGAUUAGCUAGUUGGUAGGGUAAAAGCCUACCAAGGCGACGAUCCAUAGCUGGUCUGAGAGGAUGAUCAGCCACACUGGGACUGAGACACGGCCGAGACUCCUACGGGAGGCAGCAGUGGGGAAUAUUGGACAAUGGGCGAAAGCCUGAUCCAGCAAUGCCGCGUGAGUGAUGAAGGCCUUAGGGUUGUAAAGCUCUUUUACCCGGGAUGAUAAUGACAGUACCGGGAGAAUAAGCUCCGGCUAACUCCGUG